GCGGUGUUAGCUCAGUUGGUAGAGCACUGGAUUGUGAUUCCAGUGGUCACGGGUGCCGGGGGUCGUGAGUUCGAGUCUCGCCGGGCGCGCCA
This 92-nucleotide transfer RNA is filed under the name Accumulibacter sp. RNAcentral's name for it is "tRNA-His". It matches the Rfam family "tRNA". Rfam says of the family: Transfer RNA (tRNA) molecules are approximately 80 nucleotides in length. Their secondary structure includes four short double-helical elements and three loops (D, anti-codon, and T loops). Further hydrogen bonds mediate the characteristic L-shaped molecular structure. tRNAs have two regions of fundamental functional importance: the anti-codon, which is responsible for specific mRNA codon recognition, and the 3' end, to which the tRNAs corresponding amino acid is attached (by aminoacyl-tRNA synthetases). tRNAs cope with the degeneracy of the genetic code in two manners: having more than one tRNA (with a specific anti-codon) for a particular amino acid; and 'wobble' base-pairing, i.e. permitting non-standard base-pairing at the 3rd anti-codon position. Lineage: Bacteria; Pseudomonadati; Pseudomonadota; Betaproteobacteria. The record is from RNAcentral.